This 117-nucleotide small RNA is filed under the name Marmota monax (woodchuck). Lineage: Eukaryota; Metazoa; Chordata; Mammalia; Rodentia; Sciuridae. The record is from RNAcentral.
ACUGGGCAUGUUGGCACAUACCUGUGGUUUUAGCUACUUGGGAGGCUGAGGUGAGAUGAUCACUCUAGCCCAUGAGUUUAAGACCAGCCUGGGCAACAAAGUGAGAUCUGGUCUUAA